RNAcentral lists this microRNA precursor (154 nucleotides) under Amborella trichopoda. RNAcentral's name for it is "MIR8565 microRNA precursor family". It matches the Rfam family "MIR8565 microRNA precursor family". The record is from Rfam by way of RNAcentral. Lineage: Eukaryota; Viridiplantae; Streptophyta; Magnoliopsida; Amborellales; Amborellaceae.
CCCCCAUCCAUGUGUGUAGGACCUCAAAAGAUCACCAUUAAAUUUGCUACGGAUCUUUAAAAAAGUUAUCACAUGAAGGUAAGACUUAAUUUUUUUAUAGAUCCGUAUCGAAUUUAAUGGUGAUCCUUUGAGGUCCUAUACACAUGGAUGGGAG